CGCGGGGAAGGGGCAGCCCGCAGUUGGCGCUGCAGGACUCUGCUUCUGUUUUCUCCAGGUGGACAUAGAAAUCAGAUUGGAAAGAAAGAUAGCAACAUGUAGAGGGCCUUCCCGGGUGUGAGGUGACAGCUGUGAAUCCUGCACGCUCCUACAAAACAAACAGGCAAGUCUCCUCUUCAUCUUGCAUUCCCCACCCCUGCAAAUCGUCUAACUUCUUCCUGAAUGAGUGAAUCAGCUAAGGGAUAUUUCUGACUUUGGCUUCUGUCUCUGCUGUUGAGGGCGACUGUGUGAGUGAAGAAGUGGGAGCAGGGACAGCCACAUGGGUCCUUUGUCUCCAGUUCUCUCUGCCUGGAUUUCCCUCCCCAACAAAGUUUGAUGCCAGGGGCACAUUCUGGGAUGGAGGAGCAAAGGAGGAAGCCAGUGGAUCUACCCUGGGUGCCUGAGCAUGUGCUUCAACUCCUCAGCGGGCCAGGACCACGCUAAUUCACACAAAGAUCAGAACAGGCCCUGUUCCAGGACCCUCCUGCCACAACUCCCAAGAGCUCCUAUCCGGGAGUACCACUGUUGGAUCCACCUUCUGCGUCCCAGCCCUCCCCAGCCUCUGGAAGCAGCCAGCUUAGCACGGUAGGCAUGUGGGUGGCGCCCCCAGCUCCGGGACUCCGUUUCUGGGGAAGUUCCCCGCGUCCUGCCUGGAGACUGGAAAGGAGCAGGGAAGUGACCAACACUAGAUUAGAGGCGGGAACUCCGGAUGAGAACAAGACGAG
RNAcentral lists this long non-coding RNA (764 nucleotides) under Aotus nancymaae (Ma's night monkey). RNAcentral's name for it is "lncRNA (ENSANAG00000038807.1)". The record is from RNAcentral. Lineage: Eukaryota; Metazoa; Chordata; Mammalia; Primates; Aotidae.